CAUGGAGGAAGUUGAGUAUGGAUAAAUUGUAUAUUAAAAAUAUUUGUGGAAAAUUUUGGGUACCGUUUAUGGUUUGUGUCUGUGUUUGAGGCAGCUGUCAUUACCCUGACUUCUGGAAACUGGCUCAUGUAAGAACCCAUGGUCAUGGCUCGAGCAUUGCGGCCCCCGAGACUUAUUUCAUGGAUCUGGUACCAUUAUAUUGCUGGCACAUCUGAGUCAUGUAUGGGGUGGAAAUGGACACCUUUGACAAAAUGUACAAACUGGACUUGUCACUGCCUGAGGACUGAGACUCAGGACAUUUCUCUUUCUUAGAAUCCUGAAGGAAGGACAAUACCGGAGGUUUAACAAUGUCAGAGACAGCCAGGGGGCAUUCUUUGUGUAUUGGACCAUGCAAGGUCCUCGUGGUGGUGUAGUGACUCGCCUCAAUCCGGGUGGCGGAGGACGAAUCUCAGUUGUCUCCGCAUCUGAGACUGCCAAUCCACGCGGCUUGUUGAGUGCGUUACCACGGAGACGUAGUGUGCGUGGAUGCUUCACGCUAUUCUCUGCGGCAUCCAUGCGAGGUUAACCCAACGUGACUCUACCCACCCUAGCAACUGGGCCAAUUGGUUGCUUAAGAAGCCUGAGUGGAGUCACUCAGCACGACCUGGAUUCAAAUUUGCAACUCCAGGUGUGGUAGUCAGCGUCUUUACUUACCCACCCUAAUUUUAAACAAUGAGAGAACAGAUCAGCACUUGGGCCCAUGUGACUAUAUUGGAUGGGGAAUUUGGGGGCUUGGCUUUGCUAAACAGGCCAUCAACAACCAGCAGAAGUGGAAUUUUAAGAGUGAUCCAGAUAACGCUGUGAGUAAUACACUGAUUAAAGGCCAAUUUAUUCGCCAUGGACUGUGGGCAUACAGCAGACAUCCAAACUACCUGGGGGAGAUCCUAGUGGUCAGGACUGUUCCUGUCUGCUUUCUCCAUCAUGCAUGGACCCCAGUACAUCA
This is a long non-coding RNA of Myxocyprinus asiaticus (Chinese sucker), 982 nucleotides long. RefSeq lists it as uncharacterized. The record is from RefSeq and is a predicted model, not a curated record. The transcript is spliced from 6 exons. Lineage: Eukaryota; Metazoa; Chordata; Actinopteri; Cypriniformes; Catostomidae.